RNAcentral lists this ribosomal RNA (490 nucleotides) under uncultured bacterium. Its description in RNAcentral is "partial 16S ribosomal RNA". It matches the Rfam family "Bacterial small subunit ribosomal RNA", at positions 30 to 507 of the family's 1533-position model. The record is from RNAcentral.
AUUGAACGCUGGCGGCAUGCCUUACACAUGCCAGUCGAACGGCAGCAUGAUCUAGCUUGCUAGAUUGAUGGCGAGUGGCGAACGGGUGAGUAAUACAUCGGAACGUGCCCUGUAGUGGGGGAUAACUAGUCGAAAGAUUAGCUAAUACCGCAUACGACCUGAGGGUGAAAGUGGGGGACCGCAAGGCCUCAUGCUAUAGGAGCGGCCGAUGUCUGAUUAGCUAGUUGGUGAGGUAAAGGGUCACCAAGGCGACGAUCAGUAGCUGGUCUGAGAGGACGAUCAGCCACACUGGGACUGAGACACGGCCCAGACUCCUACGGGAGGCAGCAGUGGGGAAUUUUGGACAAUGGGCGAAAGCCUGAUCCAGCAAUGCCGCGUGUGUGAAGAAGGCCUUCGGGUUGUAAAGCACUUUUGUCCGGAAAGAAAUGGCUCUGGUUAAUACCUGGGGUCGAUGACGGUACCGGAAGAAUAAGGACCGGCUAACUACGUG